This 187-nucleotide ribosomal RNA is filed under the name uncultured bacterium. RNAcentral describes it as "partial 16S ribosomal RNA". It matches the Rfam family "Bacterial small subunit ribosomal RNA", at positions 1314 to 1500 of the family's 1533-position model. The record is from RNAcentral.
GACUACAUGAAGCUGGAAUCGCUAGUAAUCGCGGAUCAGAAUGCCGCGGUGAAUACGUUCCCGGGUCUUGUACACACCGCCCGUCACACCAUGGGAGUCGGAAAUGCCCGAAGUCUGUGACCCAACCUUAGGGAGGGAGCAGCCGAAGGCAGGUCGGAUGACUGGGGUGAAGUCGUAACAAGGUAUC